This 257-nucleotide ribosomal RNA is filed under the name uncultured bacterium. Its description in RNAcentral is "partial 16S ribosomal RNA". It matches the Rfam family "Bacterial small subunit ribosomal RNA", at positions 524 to 777 of the family's 1533-position model. The record is from RNAcentral.
UACGUAGGGGGCAAGCGUUGUCCGGAUUUAUUGGGCGUAAAGAGCGUGUAGGCGGCCUGAAAGGUCAGCUGUGAAAACUCGAGGCUCAACCUCGAGACGUCGGUUGAAACCAUCUGGCUAGAGUCCGGAAGAGGAGUGUGGAAUUCCCGGUGUAGCGGUGAAAUGCGCAGAUAUCGGGAAGAACACCCGUGGCGAAGGCGGCACUCUGGGACGGUACUGACGCGUGAGACGCGAAAAGCGUGGGGAGCCGAACGAGG